AUUGAACGCUGGCGGCAGGCCUAACACAUGCAAGUCGAGCGGAUGAAGGGAGCUUGCUCCUGGAUUCAGCGGCGGACGGGUGAGUAAUGCCUAGGAAUCUGCCUUGUAGUGGGGGAUAACGUCCGGAAACGGGCGCUAAUACCGCAUACGUCCUGAGGGAGAAAGUGGGGGAUCUUCGGACCUCACGCUAUCAGAUGAGCCUAUGUCGGAUUAGCUAGUUGGUGGGGUAAAGGCCUACCAAGGCGCCGAUCCGUAACUAGUCUGAGAGGAUGAUCAGUCACAAUGGAACUGAGACACGGUCCCGACUCCUACGGGAGGCAGCAGUGGGGAAUAUUGGACAAUGGGCGAAAGCCUGAUCCAGCCAUACCGCGUGUGUGAAGAAGGUCUUCGGAUUGUAAAGCACUUUAAGUUGGGAGGAAGGGCAGUAAGUUAAUACCUUGCUGUUUUGACGUUACCAACAGAAUAAGCACCGGCUAACUUCGUG
RNAcentral lists this ribosomal RNA (484 nucleotides) under uncultured bacterium. RNAcentral describes it as "partial 16S ribosomal RNA". It matches the Rfam family "Bacterial small subunit ribosomal RNA", at positions 30 to 507 of the family's 1533-position model. The record is from RNAcentral.